UACGGAGGAUUCAAGCGUUAUCCGGAUUUAUUGGGUUUAAAGGGUGCGUAGGCGGGUUAUCAAGUCAGCGGUAAAAUCGUGGAGCUCAACUCCAUCCAGCCGUUGAAACUGAUGAUCUUGAGUGGGCGAGAAGUAUGCGGAAUGCGUGGUGUAGCGGUGAAAUGCAUAGAUAUCGCGCAGAACCCCGAUUGCGAAGGCAGCCUGCCGGCCCCACACUGACGCUGAGGCACGAAAGCGUGGGGAGCAAACAGG
Molecule: ribosomal RNA, 252 nt
Filed under: uncultured Bacteroidales bacterium
Lineage: Bacteria; Pseudomonadati; Bacteroidota; Bacteroidia; Bacteroidales
Description: partial 16S ribosomal RNA
Rfam family: Bacterial small subunit ribosomal RNA
Source: RNAcentral